This 745-nucleotide ribosomal RNA is filed under the name uncultured bacterium. RNAcentral describes it as "bacterial SSU rRNA". It matches the Rfam family "Bacterial small subunit ribosomal RNA", at positions 33 to 773 of the family's 1533-position model. The record is from RNAcentral.
ACGCUGGCGGCAGGCCUAACACAUGCAAGUCGAGCGGUAGAGAGAAGCUUGCUUCUCUUGAGAGCGGCGGACGGGUGAGUAAUGCCUAGGAAUCUGCCUGGUAGUGGGGGAUAACGUUCGGAAACGGACGCUAAUACCGCAUACGUCCUACGGGAGAAAGCAGGGGACCUUCGGGCCUUGCGCUAUCAGAUGAGCCUAGGUCGGAUUAGCUAGUUGGUGAGGUAAUGGCUCACCAAGGCGACGAUCCGUAACUGGUCUGAGAGGAUGAUCAGUCACACUGGAACUGAGACACGGUCCAGACUCCUACGGGAGGCAGCAGUGGGGAAUAUUGGACAAUGGGCGAAAGCCUGAUCCAGCCAUGCCGCGUGUGUGAAGAAGGUCUUCGGAUUGUAAAGCACUUUAAGUUGGGAGGAAGGGCAUUAACCUAAUACGUUAGUGUUUUGACGUUACCGACAGAAUAAGCACCGGCUAACUCUGUGCCAGCAGCCGCGGUAAUACAGAGGGUGCAAGCGUUAAUCGGAAUUACUGGGCGUAAAGCGCGCGUAGGUGGUUUGUCAAGUUGGAUGUGAAAUCCCCGGGCUCAACCUGGGAACUGCAUUCAAAACUGACUGACUAGAGUAUGGUAGAGGGUGGUGGAAUUUCCUGUGUAGCGGUGAAAUGCGUAGAUAUAGGAAGGAACACCAGUGGCGAAGGCGACCACCUGGACUAAUACUGACACUGAGGUGCGAAAGCGAGGGGAGCAAAC